This 72-nucleotide transfer RNA is filed under the name Camelus ferus (Wild Bactrian camel). It matches the Rfam family "tRNA". From Rfam's summary of the family: Transfer RNA (tRNA) molecules are approximately 80 nucleotides in length. The record is from Rfam by way of RNAcentral. Lineage: Eukaryota; Metazoa; Chordata; Mammalia; Artiodactyla; Camelidae.
GGGGAUAUGGCUCAGCAGUAGAGCACAUGUUGAACAUGCAAGAGGUACUGGGUUCAAUCCCCAAUAUCUUCA